Molecule: ribosomal RNA, 253 nt
Filed under: uncultured bacterium
Lineage: Bacteria
Description: partial 16S ribosomal RNA
Rfam family: Bacterial small subunit ribosomal RNA
Source: RNAcentral
UACGGAGGGUGCAAGCGUUAUCCGGAUUUACUGGGUUUAAAGGGUGCGUAGGCGGGCUAUUAAGUCAGUGGUGAAAGCUCCCGGCUCAACCGGGAAACUGCCAUUGAUACUGGUAGCCUUGAGUUCGGUUGAAGUGGGCGGAAUACAGCAUGUAGCGGUGAAAUGCUUAGAUAUGCUGUAGAACACCGAUUGCGAAGGCAGCUCACUAAACCGUUACUGACGCUGAGGCACGAAAGCGUGGGGAUCGAACAGG